UGUAAAUAUGACAGAGAUAAAAUCACGGUCACAUCUUUAAUUCUUUAUUUUUGAAACACAACAUAAAAAUGUACGUAACAGAAACAUCUAUAAAAAAAAAGUCAUCCAUAGUGGUACAAAAAGUAGAUGAAUUUGACGUGAUUCAGACACACAAGCAGCAGCAGUAGGCUACAGUAGUACAGUAGUAGCAGUGGACACUCUGUCUGUCAAUCCCGCUGUGGAUGUCUGCUGACUGAGUUCACGACGCAGUAGCUGGUUGAAGGGGACCAAACCUCACUAAAACACCUGACUUGGUUCCGUUUGACCAGCCACAGCAAGGCGUGCAGUUCAGGACGAGAGGGAAAGCGAGAGGGGGGGAGAAUGGGAGGAAGGGAGAGAGAGGAGGAGGAAGGAGAUAGGACAGGGGUGAGGAGAGGAAGAAAGAAAGAAAGAGAGACAGGAGGGCAGUGGAGAUGAUAUUUUGGAGCCAUGACUUCAGAGUCCCACAUCGUCCUCUUGUUCCUGUUUAGAAAAGAGAGAAAGAAAAACAGGAAAAAAGGGAGGUCAGUAAAAGCACAACAGUGAUGACACGGGACUAUAACAUAUCAUGACGUGAUAUGGAGAGGCUGUCAUCAUCACUACCAUAACAUUACUCACAGAACUAUCACUGUCCAAUCAGGAAACUAAUCAUCACUCCCAAGUGGCACAGCGGUCUAAGACCAUUGGGAUAAAUCAUGUUUCACUGGACUAGACAGACAUGGAGAAAGUGAUGUUACUAAGCAGAGUAGACCUCUCCCAUCCUAGGCAGUCGUUGUAAAUAAUAAUUUGUUCUUUAACCAACUUGCCUAGUUAAAUAAAAAGUGAAAUAAAGGUUAAAUAAAAAGUGAAAUAAAAAGUGAAAUAAUAUUAUUAGAGAUACAAACAACCAGUCAACACUCAACCUCUACCCAACACACCCCACUCUCAAUGACAACCCCACCUCUCCCUCCCUCCCUCUCCUCUUCUUUCCCAACCCCUCCUCCUGUUGCUAUAACUGGGGACAGCUGUUCUGUCAAUCCCCCUUGACUGUCAGCAGCAGGGCUGGGCAGGGCAGAGGUACGUCACAAAUGGCAGCCUAUUUCCUUUAAAGUGCACUACUUUUGACAAUGGCCCAUAAAGGCUCUGGUUAAAAGUAGUGCACUAUUUAAGAAAUUGGGUGCCAUUUCACCCACACACACAGCUAGUGGUUAACGACCACACGUGUCUGGGCUGAAGGACACCGAAUGAAGAACAGCCCCUUCCACCUGUUGGCUGGGCCACACACACACGCACACACACAGACACACACACACACACACGCACACACACACGCACGCACGCACGCACGCACACACGCACACACAGACACACACACACACACACACACACACACACACACACACACACACACACACACACACACUACUCCUCUAUAUAAAUGACAAUAAAACGCCCAUUCAGUCUUGCAGCCUUAGUUUUCAUCCAAACAAGCAUCAUCUUCUCAGUUUGGCGCUCCAGUCCCCUUGUAACCACACACUUCCUUACAUUCCAUAACAGCAGUAUUCAUAUGGGGAUAUAAGGAAGCAUGUCUUCACAGGAGGCAACGACAGGAUCUCCUCCCUGACAGACCGGCCCCGGCUAGAGGACACAAAGCACCCUUUCAUUACCACACAGUCCCAGGGCAGUGUGAGCAGAACCUUAACUGUCUAACAUUGGUUAACUGUAGAUGCAUCCAAAAUGGCAUCCUAUUGGUUAACUGAAGAUGCAUCCAAAAUGGCACCCUAUUGGUUAACUGUAGAUGCAUACAAAAUGGCACCCUAUUUGUUAACUGUAGAUUUAUCCUAAAUGGCACCCUAUUUCCUAUAUAGUGCACUUCAUUUGAUCAGGCCUCUAUGGACCCUGUACAAAAGUAGUGCACUACAUAGGGAAUAGGGUGUCAUUUGGGACAGGGUGAGAGGGAGAGAGGGGUGUAACUGAAGUUCCCGUCCAUAAUCAGUUUAAAGUGAAACACAGUGGUUAACCUGAAGGAAGUAGCAGGACGAAAUGAGGUACGUUGUGGUGUUAACGUUGACGUGCAGUUAGACGUUAGGUUAAACUCACAAGGUGAAAUCUUGUUCAAUGGGACGAUUGUCAUAAAUCUAAUUCCAUUAUCAAUAAAAAAAAAAUGUUUAAUUGAAAUAGGAAUAAUUUAAAUACUCUUCUAUCAAGAGGAGUUUCACAACAUAGCCAAGAUUAUUUCUGUACUCAGUCAGUGUAAGGAGGAUGACGUUUGAUGGAUAGUGCUGCAGCCAUAUUGGAUGACUGGCUGCCUGUCCUGUCCCUAGUGGUCAGUAACUUUAGACCUCAUGUGUCUAGAUAACUCAGAGGGGUGAGACACACUGACUACUAACACAUAAAGGUCACUAGCUAUUAAAGUUCAUCAACAUUGUGCAGUAUGUCACGUUGUGAUAUCUGAAACCCCAAUAAAUACAUUUGACUGAAAUCUCAACAACGAAGUGGUUUUAAGAUGACCACAACUAGUAAAAGUAGAGGCAAGACAAUAUAUAAUAUUAAACUUUUACUUUUAACAAAAUCAUUUUCUGUACCUUUACUGCGAUUCAUGGUCUCAUCCACAUCCCAGAGUCUUCCUUGUCUCCACCGUAGUGUGGAAAUGGGUCAUUCAGACAGUCUAUCCUUGAUGCACUCUACUAAACUCCAUCCAGAAAGCUGGCUCCACUGAACAUUUUAAAUUCUACCUUACUACAUCUUUCCCUUCUCUGCAAUGAAUUCUGGGAACCUAAAAGCAUUCUAAGUACCUAAAAGCAUUCUAAGAACCUAAAAGCAUUCUAUGACCCUAAAAGCAUUCUAAUAACCUUAAAGCAUUCUAGGAACCUAAAAGCAUUCUAAUAACCUAAAAGUGUUCUAGGAACCUAAAAGCAUUCUAAUAACCUAAAAGCAGUCUAGCAACCUAAAAGCAUUCUAAUAACCUAAAAGCAUUCUAAUAACCUAAAAGUAUUCUAGGAACCUAAAAGCAUUCUAAUAACCUAAAAGCAUUCUAGGAACCUAAAAGAAUUCUAGGAACCUUUAAGAAUCUAUCAAGACCAAGACAAACCAACAGCUAACAGCUAACAUGGUCCUCACUUUCCUGACACUACACUGUUGAUCAAAGGCAGGAACCGUGUGACACCUCAGCAAACAGAAGCUCACCUUCAGGCCUCUAGAUUGCACCCAGGCUGUGCCCCCUUCUCAUCCCCUCUCCUCUCCUCUCUACAGAACACCCCUCUCCUUUCUGCUCCUCACCUGACGAAGGCUUCACAUCCUGCUAGUGGUCCAGAGUGUCGUUGUCCCAACGUCAUAAACCACAGAUAGACAUUACCUAACAACUGUUCCAACACCUGCUGCUCUGCCUGUCUCAUGGUCUCCCUGUCCCCCCCCGUCCCUCUGUCCCCCUGUCCCCCCUGUC
This 3439-nucleotide long non-coding RNA is filed under the name Salmo salar (Atlantic salmon). RNAcentral's name for it is "lncRNA (ENSSSAG00000113856.1)". Lineage: Eukaryota; Metazoa; Chordata; Actinopteri; Salmoniformes; Salmonidae. The record is from RNAcentral.